Molecule: ribosomal RNA, 468 nt
Filed under: uncultured bacterium
Lineage: Bacteria
Description: partial 16S ribosomal RNA
Rfam family: Bacterial small subunit ribosomal RNA
Source: RNAcentral
GACGAACGCUGGCGGCGUGCUUAACACAUGCAAGUCGAACGGAAGGGCCCUGCUUUUGUGGGGUGCUCGAGUGGCGAACGGGUGAGUAACACGUGAGUAACCUGCCCUUGACUUUGGGAUAACUUCAGGAAACUGGGGCUAAUACCGGAUAGGAGCUCCUGCUGCAUGGUGGGGGUUGGAAAGUUUCGGCGGUUGGGGAUGGACUCGCGGCUUAUCAGCUUGUUGGUGGGGUAGUGGCUUACCAAGGCUUUGACGGGUAGCCGGCCUGAGAGGGUGACCGGCCACAUUGGGACUGAGAUACGGCCCAGACUCCUACGGGAGGCAGCAGUGGGGAAUAUUGCACAAUGGGCGGAAGCCUGAUGCAGCAACGCCGCGUGCGGGAUGACGGCCUUCGGGUUGUAAGCCGCUUUCGCCUGUGACGAAGCGUGAGUGACGGUAAUGGGUAAAGAAGCACCGGCUAACUACGUG